Molecule: ribosomal RNA, 407 nt
Filed under: uncultured bacterium
Lineage: Bacteria
Description: bacterial SSU rRNA
Rfam family: Bacterial small subunit ribosomal RNA
Source: RNAcentral
UGGGGAAUAUUGGGCAAUGGGCGAAAGCCUGACCCAGCAAUGCCGCGUGAGUGAAGAAGGUCUUCGGAUUGUAAAGCUCUUUGAUUAGGGACGAAAAAAUGACUGUACCUAAAGAACAAGCCCCGGCUAACUACGUGCCAGCAGCCGCGGUAAUACGUAGGGGGCAAGCGUUGUCCGGAAUUAUUGGGCGUAAAGGGUGCGUAGGUGGUUUAGCAAGUUGGAAGUGAAAUACCCAGGGCUUAACUCGGGUGCUGCUUUCAAAACUACUAGACUUGAGUGUGGGAGAGAAUAGUGGAAUUCCUAGUGUAGCGGUGGAAUGCGUAGAUAUUAGGAGGAACACCAGUGGCGAAGGCGACUAUUUGGCCCAUAACUGACACUGAGGCACGAAAGCGUGGGGAGCAAACAGG